Molecule: ribosomal RNA, 406 nt
Filed under: uncultured bacterium
Lineage: Bacteria
Description: partial 16S ribosomal RNA
Rfam family: Bacterial small subunit ribosomal RNA
Source: RNAcentral
AUUGAACGCUGGCGGCAGGCCUAACACAUGCAAGUCGAACGAGUGGCGGACGGGUGAGUAAUGUAUGGGAAACUGCCUGAUGGAGGGGGAUAACUACUGGAAACGGUAGCUAAUACCGCAUACCAUCGGAUGUCCCCAGAUGGGAUUAGCUAGUAGGUGGGGUAAAGGCUCACCUAGGCGACGAUCCCUAGCUGGUCUGAGAGGAUGACCAGCCACACUGGAACUGAUACACGGCCCAGACUCCUACGGGAGGCAGCAGUGGGGAAUAUUGCACAAUGGGCGCAAGCCUGAUGCAGCCAUGCCGCGUGUAUGAAGAAGGCCUUAGGGUUGUAAAGUACUUUCAGCGGGGAGGCGUUACCCGCAGAAGAAGCACCGGCUAACUCCGUGCCAGCCGCCGCGGUAAUUC